This 241-nucleotide ribosomal RNA is filed under the name Entoloma sp. Its description in RNAcentral is "partial large subunit ribosomal RNA". Lineage: Eukaryota; Fungi; Basidiomycota; Agaricomycetes; Agaricales; Entolomataceae. The record is from RNAcentral.
AAACGCUUGAAGUCAGUCGCAUUGAUCAGGGAUCAACCUUGCUUCUGCUUGGUGCACUUUCUGGUCAAUGGGUCAGCAUCAAUUUUGACCAGUGGAGAAAGGUCAAGGGAAUGUGGCAUCUUUGGAUGUGUUAUAGCUCUUGGUCAUAUACAUUGGUUGGGAUUGAGGAACUCAGCACGCCGCAAGGCCGGGUUUUAAACCACGUUCGUGCUUAGGAUGCUGGCAUAAUGGCUUUAAUCGA